AACAAACGCUGGCGGCAGGCUUAACACAUGCAAGUCGAACGCAUCCUUCGGGGUGAGUGGCAGACGGGUGAGUAACGCGUGGGAACGUGCCCUUCAGUUCGGGAUAACCCAGGGAAACUUGGGCUAAUACCGGAUACGUGCGAGAGCAGAAAGAUUUAUCGCUGAAGGAUCGGCCCGCGUCUGAUUAGCUAGUUGGUGGGGUAAUGGCCCACCAAGGCGACGAUCAGUAGCUGGUCUGAGAGGAUGAUCAGCCACAUUGGGACUGAGACACGGCCCAAACUCCUACGGGAGGCAGCAGUGGGGAAUAUUGGACAAUGGGCGCAAGCCUGAUCCAGCCAUGCCGCGUGAGUGAUGAAGGCCUUAGGGUUGUAAAGCUCUUUCACCGAUGAAGAUAAUGACGGUAGUCGGAGAAGAAGCCCCGGCUAACUUCGUGCCAGCCGCCGCGGUAA
RNAcentral lists this ribosomal RNA (449 nucleotides) under uncultured bacterium. RNAcentral describes it as "partial 16S ribosomal RNA". It matches the Rfam family "Bacterial small subunit ribosomal RNA", at positions 29 to 523 of the family's 1533-position model. The record is from RNAcentral.